CCUACGGGAGGCAGCAGUGAGGAAUAUUGGUCAAUGGACGCAAGUCUGAACCAGCCAUGCCGCGUGCAGGAAGACGGCUCUAUGAGUUGUAAACUGCUUUUGUACGAAGGUAAAUCCCGAUACGUGUAUCUGGUUGAAAGUAUCGUACGAAUAAGGAUCGGCUAACUCCGUGCCAGCAGACGCGGUAAUACGGAGGAUUCAAGCGUUAUCCGGAUUUAUUGGGUUUAAAGGGUGCGUAGGCGGUUCGAUAAGUUAGUGGUGAAAUCCCGGGGCUCAACUCCGGCACUGCCUCUGAUACUGUCGGGCUAGAGUGUAGUUGCGGUAGGCGGAAUGUAUGGUGUAGCGGUGAAAUGCAUAGAGAUCAUACAGAACACCGAUUGCGAAGGCAGCUUACCAAACUACGACUGACGUUGAGGCACGAAAGCGUGGGGAGCAAACAGGAUUAGAUACCCUAGUAGUC
Molecule: ribosomal RNA, 460 nt
Filed under: uncultured bacterium
Lineage: Bacteria
Description: partial 16S ribosomal RNA
Rfam family: Bacterial small subunit ribosomal RNA
Source: RNAcentral